AUACCUUUCUCGGCCUUUUGGCUAAGAUCAAGUGUAGUAUCUGUUCUUAUCAGUUUAAUAUCUGAUACGUGGAUCAUUGAUUCACAUGAUAUUAAAUUAAUUUUUUAAUGGGAGAGGGUGUAUUACGGUAGCUUGCUACUGGUACUCUCGUGCGUCGCCCCUGCUUCGCACUACUGCUAGGGCCUGGCGCACCCACC
Hevea brasiliensis (rubber tree) is the source of this 197-nucleotide small nuclear RNA. RefSeq annotates it as U2 spliceosomal RNA. The transcript has a single exon. The record is from RefSeq and is a predicted model, not a curated record. Lineage: Eukaryota; Viridiplantae; Streptophyta; Magnoliopsida; Malpighiales; Euphorbiaceae.